Molecule: transfer RNA, 71 nt
Filed under: Cordylochernes scorpioides
Lineage: Eukaryota; Metazoa; Arthropoda; Arachnida; Pseudoscorpiones; Chernetidae
Description: tRNA-OTHER
Rfam family: tRNA
About the family: Transfer RNA (tRNA) molecules are approximately 80 nucleotides in length.
Source: RNAcentral
UCCAGGGUAGCCUAGGGACAUGGCAUCUGCCCGGUAGCGGAACACUGUGGGUUCGAUUCCCAUCCCUGGAC